Molecule: small RNA, 685 nt
Filed under: Pan troglodytes (chimpanzee)
Lineage: Eukaryota; Metazoa; Chordata; Mammalia; Primates; Hominidae
Description: retained intron
Source: RNAcentral
GAAGAUAUCCCGGUGUUUAAGAGGAGGAGGCGGUCCAGCUCCGUCGUGUCCGCCGAGAUGUCCGGCUGCAGCAGCAAGUCUCAUCGGAGGACCUCCCUGCCCUGUAUACCGAGGGAACAGCUCAUGGGGCAUUCAGAAUGGGACCACAAACGAGGGCCAAGAGGAUCACAGGUAAGUUUCUUUUCCUUUUCUUUUUCACGUUUCGUUUUGUAACACUUUCAGCCACGGGUUUUCUAAAACUCAAGAGAUAAUAAAAUGUAGAGCGAGGAAGAGGCAAAAUAACCAUGCCAUUUGUUUUUAUUUAAGUUAACUAUAAUUAAAGUCUGGAUUUCAAAUCCCAAAGGCAGAUGCCAGGAUAUUCCUUCUAAGAGCUUUCUGGUAUCCCAGAUUGGUUGUGUUUAUAUGAAUAUAGAUUUUAUAUUCAUCUUGUCUCGGCAGAAUACAUUUUGAUCAGCAACCCACUCUCUUUAUUCAUUUCCUUUGACAAUUUUUCCGUGUAUUUUCUUUUUUCUUCAGCUUCCUGUUUUUGGUUAAAUAUUUUGAAAUAUAAUCAGAAUAAACUCUGAACUAAUUACAAGAUUUUGUCUCUAAAUUAACUCUUUUCAUCUGAGGGAAACAGAAAGAUGAAAGGACCUAUUAUUUUUGAAAAGAAACAAAUUCUAAAUCUUUCUAUAUUACCAGAGUG